RNAcentral lists this ribosomal RNA (120 nucleotides) under Rosa chinensis. Lineage: Eukaryota; Viridiplantae; Streptophyta; Magnoliopsida; Rosales; Rosaceae. The record is from RNAcentral.
GGGUGCGAUCAUACCAGCAAUAAUGCACCGGAUCCCAUCAGAACUCCGAAGUUAAGCUUGCUUGGGCGAGAGCAGUACUAGGAUGGGUGACCCCUGGGAAGUCCUCGUGUUGCACCCCUC